GACGAACGCUGGCGGCGUGCUUAACACAUGCAAGUCGAACGGAAAGGCCCUGCUUUUGUGGGGUGCUCGAGUGGCGAACGGGUGAGUAACACGUGAGUAACCUGCCCUUGACUUUGGGAUAACUUCGGGAAACUGGGGCUAAUACCGGAUAGGAGCUCCUGCUGCAUGGUGGGGGUUGGAAAGUUUCGGCGGUUGGGGAUGGACUCGCGGCUUAUCAGCUUGUUGGUGGGGUAGUGGCUUACCAAGGCUUUGACGGGUAGCCGGCCUGAGAGGGUGACCGGCCACAUUGGGACUGAGAUACGGCCAAGACUCAUACGGGAGGCAGCAGUGGGGAAUAUUGCACAAUGGGCGGAAGCCUGAUGCAGCAACGCCGCGUGCGGGAUGACGGCCUUCGGGUUGUAAACCGCUUUCGCCUGUGACGAAGCGUGAGUGACGGUAAUGGGUAAAGAAGCACCGGCUAACUACGUG
This 468-nucleotide ribosomal RNA is filed under the name uncultured bacterium. RNAcentral's name for it is "partial 16S ribosomal RNA". It matches the Rfam family "Bacterial small subunit ribosomal RNA", at positions 28 to 507 of the family's 1533-position model. The record is from RNAcentral.